GGAAGUCUUGAAAGGCAUCUAGUGAGAGGUGCAUACCAUGGAACAUUUUGUGAAUCAUUCUGAUCACAAAAAGGAGGAUCUUGUUCUUUGCGAUUGUCAUAGCAUGAAGAUGAGUCAGGUUUCUGAUAGAUUACAAGCCCAAUUCCUGAUGAAUCCAUAGUCUUAGCCACAUUCUUCCAGCACAUAGAAUUUGUCAAAGCCACCAUAGAAUUCCAAACAUUGCGAUCUCU
Molecule: unclassified non-coding RNA, 230 nt
Filed under: Hevea brasiliensis (rubber tree)
Lineage: Eukaryota; Viridiplantae; Streptophyta; Magnoliopsida; Malpighiales; Euphorbiaceae
Source: RNAcentral